Molecule: long non-coding RNA, 2310 nt
Organism: Dermochelys coriacea (leatherback sea turtle)
Lineage: Eukaryota; Metazoa; Chordata; Testudines; Dermochelyidae
Exons: 4
Source: RefSeq, a predicted model, not a curated record
CUCAUUUCUAAUAAUGACAAUCAGUCUGUCUGUCUCCAGGUGUUGUGUUUUACAGAAAUUCAGAGGUUCGAUUUCUGUGUGGCCACCUUUCUUCAAUAAGCUCUGAAACACAAAUAAAUCAUUGCAACAAAUGUCAUCAGGGUCAUAAUGAGACUCCCCUGUAAGGAAGCCAGAAGGAAAACCAUGAAAGGAAGUCUUUCAAUUAACUAGCAACAAGUGAUGACUCAGCAACUGAUCUACCUGCCCAAGAUAUUGGAAGCCUGUUUAUUAUUAUUGUUAACAUUCUCACCCAAGGCAGGAAUUGAGUGGUGUUCCUUAAGUAUAUCAGCACACAAACAAGAAAGAAUUUUCAAAGGGGCCCAUUUCUUCUUUGUGCUGGUCACAAUGGCUCUGUUGGAUUUCCUCUUAUUCUGCUGCAUCUUCAGAUUACCUGCUGGGUUCACUUCCGCCUUGGCAUCUUCCUGGCACUGGUUCAAUUCUGGAACAUUCUUAGGUUUUUCAGUUUCAACUCUUAUCUCUGCUGCUAUAUCAGGAGGCACAGAGUCCGGUGGCAAAACGAAAGAAGAGUCAGCUUCACAGGUUCUGUCAGAAAUGCCGCACAGGGACUGAGGACUGCCCGCCAAACAGUCUAAGGCCAUGGACAUUUCCAAAGAAUAGCUGCUGGGGUCAGAAAGAUAAGACUGUAGUUGGGAAAAUGACUGUUUUGGGCAUUUUUCAGGAGGAGAAACACUUUCAGACUUAUUUGGUGAUAGAUCACAAAAAAGGAGCAAAUUGUCAUUUUUGCCAGAAGCUGCAAGUGAAUUUUUAUCAAGUUUUGCAAAUUUCUGGAAGUACUGCUUUACCAAAAUGCUGGAAUGGAGUCCCGCCUCAGGUGAAUAUGUUGUAGCUUCCUGUAUGGCACAGUGAAGGCCCGGCAAAACAGAGGUUACUUUUAAAGAGAUCUCGUUGAAUUUGUUUUCACAAUUCAAUUCCUGUUUUUUUACUGGGGGGAAAAAAAACAGUACUUCAAUAAUAUAAUAAUAUGAUCACGCAGACACACAAACAUAUCAAUGCUAAAGUAAUGUUAAAGGUCUGAAAAACCCACAAAAAGUUAUCCCAGAAACAUUCUCCUCACUUUGAUGGAUGCUUUUAACUCCUGCUAAAGAUAAGGAGAGUUCCACGUGGAUAACAAACAUAGACUAGACCCCUCAGAGUCAAGAAAGAAAUUCUCUUUCAUUAGCUUGCCCUGUUGUGCAAGUUAUUACAGAGGCUUUAGAGAAAAGUGUAACAUUACAUAUCAUACACAGAUCAAAUUCAGUUAUCUGAAUGUUUCCAAGGAAAUCUGAAAUGCUGGGAUAAACAGAGUUUUGAAUAAAUGAAUUUUCGGUUCCAUACCAAUUUAAAAUUUAAGAUACCUUAAAAUUCAGGUAACUGGGGUUGGCCUAUGCUGUUUAUCUCCCUGUUUAGAUGCUACUUUCAAUAGUAUUUGCAUCUUUACUAUGCUGACCGCUGGAGAAAGUAAUUGGCUUGGAAACUACAGGUCUACUAAACAAAACACAUAUAGUAUGUUGUGCAGAAUAGGGAAAAGAGGGCAUAAACAGGAGGUGUUAACGUAAUACAAAUAAAUAAUGCCAGAAUGCUAGUCUCAGCUGGACACAUUGCCUUUAAUGGGGCCAGGAUUUCACCCAAUGGGAGUUUUACCAUUGACUUCAAUGCGGCCAGAAUUUUACCACUCAUUGUCUUCAACAUUAGGGAAAGAGACAACUUGCUGAAGGUACGGAUCUCCAUUUGUUAAAUGCCCCUGCUAUUUGAGGGAAUUAAAUUGAAGGUAGAGUCAGAUGUUUUUCAACCACACCCAUUUCAUGAAUAACCAAUGUGAGACAUGGCUUGCUGGGUUUCGCCAGAUGCCCAACUUGUGCAACCUGCUUCAUUAUUUAGCCUACUGCAAUCUCACAAUUGCAACACAAGCCCUUGUGAGCCCAAGACUUGAUUGACAUAUGUCACUCUUAGCAAGGCUCCCAGCAGUGCUGCUCUGCAGCCUGUUGCUUGUUCAAGAACACAGCAGCACAUUUGUUCACUGGGUUGAGCAACCGCAACCAUAUUACACGUAUCCUACAUUCUUCACAUCAGGUGGGCUUCAGAGCCCAAGCUCCAACUUGAGCUGAAACUUCCAAGUGCUGUUUACACAGCUAUUUUAAAAGCACUAGCACCAGGCCUGCAAGCCCAAGUCUGUUGAGCGGGGAUGGGAGGCUUGCUGCCAAAUGAUGUGCAGAUAUACCAGGGGCAAGCAAACUUUUUGGCCUGAGGGCCGCAUCGGGUUUCUGAAAUUGU